AGGACGAACGCUGGCGGCGUGCUUAACACAUGCAAGUCGAGCGAGGCCCUUCCUUCGGGAAGGUGCCCUAGCGGCGAACGGGUGAGUAACACGUGGGCAACCUGCCCCUAGCACUGGGAUAAGCCCGGGAAACCGGGUCUAAUACCGGAUAUGACCUUCGAGGGCAUCCUUGAAGGUGUAAAGGAUUCUGGCUAGGGAUGGGCCCGCGGCCUAUCAGCUUGUUGGUGGGGUAAUGGCCUACCAAGGCGACGACGGGUA
RNAcentral lists this ribosomal RNA (258 nucleotides) under uncultured bacterium. RNAcentral describes it as "partial small subunit ribosomal RNA". It matches the Rfam family "Bacterial small subunit ribosomal RNA", at positions 26 to 285 of the family's 1533-position model. The record is from RNAcentral.